AACGUACGCUGGCGGCACGCCUAACACAUGCAAGUCGAGCGAGGUAGCAAUACCUAGCGGCAGACGGGUGCGUAACAUGUGGGAAUCUGCCUUUUGGUUCGGAACAACACGGGGAAACCUGUGCUAAUACCGGAUAAGUCCUAACGGAGAAAGUUUUAAUGCCAAAAGAUGAGCCCGCAUUUGAUUAGCUAGUUGGUGAGGUAAAAGCUCACCAAGGCGAUAAUCAAUAGCUGAUUUGAGAGGAUGAUCAGCCACACUGGGACUGAGAUACGGCCCAGACUCCUACGGGAGGCAGCAGUGGGGAAUCUUGCACAAUGGGCGAAAGCCUGAUGCAGCGAUGCCGCGUGAGUGAAGAAGGCCUUUGGGUUGUAAAGCUCUUUUGUCGGGAAAGAUAAUGACUGUACCCGAAGAAUAAGGUCCGGCUAACUUCGUGCCAGCAGCCGCGGUAAUACGAAGGGACCUAGCGUAGUUCGGAAUUACUGGGCGUAAAGAGUAUGUAGGCGGCUAGAUAAGUUAAUUGUGAAAGCCCAAAGCUUAACUUUGGAAUUGCAAUUAAAACUAUUUAGCUGGAGUAUGAUAGAGGAAAGCGGAAUACAUAGUGUAGAGGUGAAAUUCGUAGAUAUUAUGUAGAACACCAGUUGCGAAGGCGGCUUUCUGGAUCAUUACUGACGCUGAGAUACGAAAGUAUGGGUAGCGAAGAGGAUUAGAUACCCUCGUAGUCCAUACCAUAAACGAUGAUUAUUAGAUGUGGGGAAUUAUUUCUCUGUAUCAUAGCUAACGCGUUAAAUAAUCCGCCUGGGGAGUACGACCGCAAGGUUAAAACUCAAAUGAAUCGACGGGGACCCGCACAAGCGGUGGAGCAUGUGGUUUAAUUCGAAGCAACGCGCAGAACCUUACCAACCCUUGACAUGUUCGUCGCGAGACUAAGAAAUUAGUCUCU
Molecule: ribosomal RNA, 940 nt
Filed under: uncultured bacterium
Lineage: Bacteria
Description: bacterial SSU rRNA
Rfam family: Bacterial small subunit ribosomal RNA
Source: RNAcentral